RNAcentral lists this ribosomal RNA (1947 nucleotides) under human gut metagenome. RNAcentral describes it as "bacterial LSU rRNA". It matches the Rfam family "Bacterial large subunit ribosomal RNA", at positions 1 to 1978 of the family's 2925-position model. The record is from RNAcentral.
AAAAACAAACAAGGGCAUACGGGGAAUGCCUAGGCUCUGCAAGGCGAAGAAGGACGUGAUAAGCUGCGAAAAGCCGCGGGGAGGUGCAAAUAACCGAUAAUCCGCGGAUAUCCGAAUGGGGCAACCCACCAUAUAAAUGGUACCUCGAAACGAGGAGCGAACCCUCUGAACUGAAACAUCUAAGUAAGAGGAGGAAGAGAAAACAACAGUGAUACCGCAAGUAGUGGCGAGCGAACGCGGCACAGCCCAAACCGGACACGUUUAGGCGUAUCCGGGGUAGUAGGACUGCGAGAUACAAGUAUAAAAAGAACCGGAACGGCAUGGAAAGGCCGUCCGUAGAAGGUGAAAGACCCGUACGGGCAAUUUUUAUACGCGUUAGCAGUACCCUCAGUAGGUCGGGGCACGAGAAACCCACACUGAAACCGGCGGGACCACCCGCCAAGGCUAAACACUCAGCAGAGACCGAUAGUGAACAAGUACCGUGAGGGAAAGGUGAAAAGAACCUUGAAUAAAGGAGUGAAAAAGACCCUGAAACCGUAUGCCUACAAGCGGUCGGAGCCCAUUUAUUGGGUGACGGCGUGCCUUUUGCAUAAUGAUCCUACGAGUUACUGUUACCGGCAAGGUUAAGCGCUUCAGGCGCGUAAGCCGCAGCGAAAGCGAGUCUUAAAAGGGCGAAUUAGUCGGUAGUAGUAGACGCGAAACCUUGUGAUCUACCCAUGGCCAGGUUGAAGUGGGGGUAACACCCCAUGGAGGACCGAAUCGGUAAGCGUUGAAAAGCUUUCGAAUGAGCUGUGGGUAGGGGUGAAAGGCCAAUCAAACUGGGAAAUAGCUCGUACUCCCCGAAAUGCAUUUAGGUGCAGCGUCGCGGUUAAGUGAUAUAUAGGUAGAGCUACUGAUUGAAUGCGGGGGCUUCACCGCCUACCAAUUUCAGACAAACUCCGAAUAGUAUAUCACAUACGCGGCAGUGAGGGCAUGGGUGCUAAGGUCCAUGCCCGAGAGGGAAACAACCCGGACCAACAGCUAAGGUCCCCAAAUAUACGCUAAGUUGAAAAAACGAAGUAGAACUGCACAGACAGCCAGGAAGUUGGCUUGGAAGCAGCCAUUCUUUUAAAGAGUGCGUAACAGCUCACUGGUCGAGCGGUUCUGCAUGGAGAAUAAGCGGGCAUAAGCGUAUUACCGAAACCAUUGCAGAUAACAAUCUGGGUAGGGGAGCAUUCCGUACAGCGCAGAAUCGGUAUUGUAAAGUACCGUGGAGCGUACGGAAAAGCAAAUGUAGGAAUAAGUAACGAUAAAGCGGGCGAGAAACCCGCUCACCGAAAGACCAAGGGUUCCCCGGCUAUGUUAAUCAGCCGGGGGUCAGUCGGGCCCUAAGGACAAGCCGAAAACAGGCUACUCCGAUGGACAAACGUUUAAUAUUACGUUACUCGUAUCGAGUGCGACGGGGCGACCUGGUAAUACCUCUUCGCGUGCUGACGGAAUAGCACGUUAAAGACUUUACUGGGCCGGGAGGCAAAUCCCCCGGCGGAAAGGUAAAGUUGAUAGUACACCCAAGCUACGGCGACGGUGAUAGCAAGACUAAAGAUCAGCAAGAAAAACCUCUAAGCUUCAGCUCGAUACGACCCGUACCGGAAACCGACACAGGUGGUCGAGAAGAGAAUUCUAAGGUGCUCGAGAGAUUCAUGGCUAAGGAACUAGGCAAAAUAGUCCUGUAACUUCGGGAAAAAGGUCACCGCAGCAAUGCGGUCUCAGAAAAUAGGUCCAGGCGACUGUUUAACAAAAACACAGGACUUUGCAAAAUCGAAAGAUGACGUAUAAGGUCUGACACCUGCCCGGUGCUGGAAGGUUAAGAGGAGAUGUCCGCAGCAAUGCAAAGCAUUGAAUUGAAGCCCCAGUAAACGGCGGCCGUAACUAUAACGGUCCUAAGGUAGCGAAAUUCCUUGUCGGGUA